GCACCCUUGGUGUACAUUGGAAACACACAUCUUUGAGUUGAUGUACUCUUGUCUUGGAUUUCACUAAUCAAGAUGAGUCCGGGGUUCGAAUCCCCGAGGGUGCA
Non-coding RNA from Mycena olivaceomarginata, 104 nucleotides. The record is from the annotation of a GenBank genome assembly. Lineage: Eukaryota; Fungi; Basidiomycota; Agaricomycetes; Agaricales; Mycenaceae.